This 377-nucleotide ribosomal RNA is filed under the name uncultured bacterium. Its description in RNAcentral is "bacterial SSU rRNA". It matches the Rfam family "Bacterial small subunit ribosomal RNA", at positions 521 to 896 of the family's 1533-position model. The record is from RNAcentral.
UAAUACGUAGGGAGCAAGCGUUAUUCGGAUUUACUGGGCGUAAAGAGCGUGUAGGCGGUUGAAUAAGUCAGAUGUGAAAUCCCUCGGCUCAACCGAGGAAGUGCAUUUGAAACUGUUCAGCUUGAGUACGGGAGAGGAGAGCGGAAUUCCCGGUGUAGAGGUGAAAUUCGUAGAUAUCGGGAGGAACACCAGUGGCGAAGGCGGUUCUCUGGCCCGAUACUGACGCUGAGACGCGAAAGCGUGGGGAGCAACCAGGAUUAGAUACCCUGGUAGUCCACGCCGUAAACGAUGGGCACUAGGUGUAGGAGGUACUGAAUCCUUCUGUGCCGAAGCUAACGCAUUAAGUGCCCCGCCUGGGGAGUACGGUCGCAAGGCUA